UGAUGUCAUAUACUUUCAAAGGUCCC
RNAcentral lists this non-coding RNA (26 nucleotides) under Mus musculus (house mouse). Lineage: Eukaryota; Metazoa; Chordata; Mammalia; Rodentia; Muridae. The record is from RNAcentral.